This 4795-nucleotide long non-coding RNA is filed under the name Sus scrofa (pig). RNAcentral describes it as "lncRNA (ENSSSCG00045010255.1)". The record is from RNAcentral. Lineage: Eukaryota; Metazoa; Chordata; Mammalia; Artiodactyla; Suidae.
CACAGCCAAGAAAUAAAAAUAAAAAAUAAAAUUAUCACUGUGUACACAGAUCUCUAGAACUCUUUAUCCAAAGCCCAGAGAUGAGUAGUGUUUUGAGUCUAUAGUAGGGGAAAUACAGCUCCAGCUGUCUUAGGCUUUCUCUGACUUUGGAAGUGUAUUAUCAGUUACAUGAGUGGGAGGGAAGCUUUUAAUGCACCACUGUUAGUAGUUGUUGGGAAAUCACCAGUUGAUAAAUGUAAAUGAUGGUUUCUCUGCCCUAGGAGUAGUGUUAAAAUUCUCAUCUCUCAACUCCCUUCACAAGAAAACAAAUCUUAUUGCAUAUCUGUUUAGUUUGUUUGUGUGUUUGUUUGUUUUGGGGGGGAGGGAUUUUUUUAGGGCAUAUGGGAGUACCCAGGCUAGGGCUCGAAUCAGAGCUGUAGCCGCUGGCUUACACCACAGGCACAGCAAUGCAGGAUCUGAGCAUGUCUACAACCUACACUACAGCUCACAGCAAUGCUGGAUCCUUAACCCACUGAGCAAGGCCAGGGAUCGAACCCGUGGAUACUAGUCAGGCUCAUUUCCACUGAGCCAUAAUGGAAACUCUGCAUAUCUUUUUAACUGAAGCCUUUCUCCAGCAAAGCUUGUCCACUUGGUUUCAAUCAUUGGUCACAAUGAGUUUCAGCACACUUUAGUAUACUUCCUGUAUUCUUUAGGAAAAAGGAUGAGUCCUGCCAUGUGUGGUGUAGUUGGGCUUACAGAGAUGGAGCAUGUGUAGAUGUUGCCCUCAGAGAGCAUUCAUUCUGGGGAAGAAAAGACACAUGUGUCAAAGACUCUGAUCAGGUUGGACUGAGGAAAGUCCAAGAGGUGCUGAGCACGGAUUACUGAAGCUGAGCCAUAGGAAGUGGCUUCAGCUCAUCCACACAGGGUUUAAAGGAAGGUGGUCUUUAGACUUUGGGGAUGUAAGAGGAAGACUGUUUUCAUCAGAAGAAACACGGAAUGGGCAGAGUGGGUCUGUUUGGGGGGAAUUGCAGGGGUUUCUGUUUGGUAGAAGAUUUCAGGUAGUCUAUCAUGGAAGAUAGAGUUGAAAGGUUGUUUGGAGUUAGAUCAUGGAGGGCUUGUAAUACCAGGGUAGGAAUUGGGGCUUUAGUCUCUCUUUCCUUAGUUUCAAAUAUUAACUCAAGUGUUUUAGCUUAGGUCUGAUUAUUAAGUAUGAUUAUUCAUAAAGAGUAAAGUGACCCUUUUGGCAGUUUGUUGUGGAACAAAAAAUACUGUUACACAACUGCAAUAUGUGUGGUCUGGGUCAAAUGGCUUUUUUUUUUUUCUUUUGGGCUGAAAAUUUUCCACAGAGGCAGUGCCAAAUAUAUCUCAUAAUCCUGUCACUCUGAUGAAAGUCAGCUCUAUCACUACAUUGUGCAUUUAUUUUGAUUCCUCCCCAGGUUCAGUGAUGUUAGGAUCUACAUUUCACAGCUUUUUUUAAAUUUAAUUUAAUUUUUUUUUGACCAAGUGGGUGGUGCUAAAAUACCCUAAUACCCUAUUUCUCUGGCAAACAAUCUGCUUUGUUUAAAAGCUGAGUCAUUAAGCUCCUUUAUCUUUCUUCUCAAUUUCCUACUUAGCAUUUUCCCUGCAUAUUGGGCACUUACUUUGUAAGCAAUGAGGAGGCUCAUUGAUUUAGUGCCCAGGAAAGAGCAACUCUGGUUUUUUGGGUUUUGUUUUGUUUUUUCUGUUCAAAGGACUUAUUUUAGUCUACCUGUGGUGUGCCUUAGAAAUAUGCUAAGCUGAGGUUUUUAGCUAUUGGAGGCAAAGGGAGAAAUAUCUGAAUUUUAUCAGAUAGGCUUGGAACACUUUUCAAUUGAUAAAAACAUUAGUGAAAGGGCCAUUAUUGUUAGCAUUCUUUGGCUAAUUAACUCAGUUGACUAAAGCUUGAGGUUUAUUGGCAAGGUCAAUUAGUUUUCUCUCUCAUUAGCUCUUGGAACCUCUAGUGCUGGCCACUGAAUUCAAUAAAUAAUUAUAAUAACAGCAAGCACAUACGUAAUUUUAAACACUGACGUACAAACUCAUUUAAUCUUCAAAAUAGUCCUGAAGGGUAGGUACUGUUACUCCUUCCAUCUUUACAGAUCAUGAAAUUGAGGCAUUGAGAAGCUAUGUAACUUGUCCAGGGGCCCAUUACUGGUAAUUGGCUGAGCCAGGAUUUGAACUUAGGCACUUAGAUUUAAGGGUCUUUACUCUUGAUCUCAUUAAAAUCCAAAGACACCAGUAAGGAGGUCCCUAGACUUGAGGAAACACAAUAUGUGUCUAAAUAUUGAAGGCUAUUUAUUCUGUGUCAUAUGAAGCUUUGAAUUUAAGAAAUUUCAGACCAGUGUUAUGAUAGACAUCAGAAAUCUAUUUAAUGUCUCUUUUGUUGCCCAUGCAUAGUUGCGGACAAGGCUUCACAGAGGUGACAUCUGAGACUUGAGCCAGGACUUAAAGGAUGCUCAAGUGCUCCACAGGCAGAGAAGAGCAUUGAAGAUAGAGGGAACAGAUGCAAAGGCUCAGAGAGGUGAAAUGGCAUUUGACAUGCAUAUUUGAAGGACAAUAUGAUGUUCCCUAUACCUAAAGGAGGACACGAGGAGAGAAAACUAAGAUGCACUUGACGAUUGCAGAUUGUACCCUGCUGAGCAGUUUAAAAAUUGUCCUCUUAGUCACCUUUUUAAAAUCAAGGGCUCACAAAUUUUGGUAUCUAAUUUCAGAGGGUUCCCAGGUGCUCUAAAGCUCAACUGUAGGUCUGUAGACCCCUCUCCCUCAAGCAGCAGAGAAUAAUUGAGAAUAGAGAACACUACGAUCCAAUGUGUGUUUUAAGAAAGAUGACUCUGAUGACCCUGAGAGAUGGCCUGGAGGAGAGAAUGAUUGGAAACAGAGAAAUCAGGAGGCAGAUAUAAAUAAUCUAGGCCAGUGAUCGCUGAGAUGGCAAAAAGAGAGCAAUGACUAUGAAAGAUAUAUCGGAGAUAGGCGCGAGAGGACCCAGAGUGACUUAAAUGGGAAAGUUGCACAUAAAAUAAUUGAAACGAGGUGUCUUUUCUAAUUUAGUUUAAGGAUAGAUGGUGAUGUCAUUAACUAAGACAGAGGACGAAGAAAGGAGAGGAGCAAAGGUGGAGAGAUGAUGGCCUGAUUUUUAGAACCACAGAGCUUUGGGUGCCCAUGAACUCUUCCAGUGGUUGAAAAUGCAAUCUGGAAAAGAACUCAGCCUUGGAGAGAGAGAGAGAGAGAGAGAGAGAUUUGGCUGUCUCUGCAAAUGGGAGGUUUAAGCCCUCUGGGUGAGUCAGGGCCACCAGGGAGCCUAGAAGGAGAAGACAAGGGCAGAGGAGGCAUAUCCGGUAAAGCUGGAUGGGAAGGCGAGACUCAGGGGAGCAGCAGCGUUAUACUGCAUUUUACACAUGAGGAACCUGAGGCACAGAGAGGUCAGUCAUUUGCGCCAAGUCACAGAGCUGGUAAAAAUCACUUUCAAUGGUAAAUUAGUGGUAACCUCAUGAUAGUAUUAUGAUAGUCUUUGUUAUAACUCUUUUAUAGAUUUUGUUAUAACUCUUUUUGUUAUAAAUUUUAUAGAUUUAAAUAUAGAUUGGUAAGCUUUAAUGACAGUAGUUCCUUAUUCACUGAACGACCCCCCCAUCAAGUAAGUAUAGUAUGCUUAUCAGAAUUCAUGAAGAAAAUAUGAUCUGAGACUUUCAUACAUUUCCAAAUUCCCUGGCUUUUUCUCGCAUGAGUAUUCUGUCAAGAUUCAUGCAUUUCUUCAACAUAUUUUCAUUUAAUAGGUUACAUUUUCCCUGAAGUUUUCUCCCAACUAAUAAGCAUUUUUGGCAUUAAUUGGAGCACUUCCUGAAAUGGUUGCAUGAGUCAUAUUUUCGUAUUUCCUCUUGGAAUAUCUGUUGGAUUCUCUUAACAGUGAUCUAAGACAUCCCCAAACUCUAUAUUCUUGUUUUAAUUUACCCCAGACUUUUCUUGUCUCCUUGAAUCCAUCCAUUUCUUAGAACCUCUUCAUUUUGUUUUCCCUUUUAUUACUACACCAGCAGAGAUUUUCCUUGAAGCCCAUUUUCUCAGUUAUUUUGUUAUUACUUCAUCAGAGUUAUACACACCAAGGAGGAAAGAACAAUGAAACCACACCAGGUUGCCACAGUUGGGCUGUCUCUUAGGCUGGGGUCAGCAAACUACAGUCCAUGGGCCAAAUGGAAGCCACCACAUUUUUGUAAAGUUUUAUUGGGGCACAGACAGACUCAUUCAUUUACACAUUGUCUGUGGCUGCUUUCCUGCUAAAAGGGCAGAGUUGAGUAGUUGCAUUAAGUGGAAUACAGCAUGACCCACAUAACCUAAAAUGUUUACUGAUUUGACCCCUCACAAAGAAAGUGCUGACUCUUGCUUUAUAGCCUACAGCUUUGGGAAUAUUAGGAUAUUGCCAAAGCACAUUUAUAAUGCUUUAGUUAAGGAGGGUUUUUUUAAAAAGCAAAAUUUUAAAUAAAAUCUUACUCAACUGAAUAAUAGAACUGUUGAGUGGUUUCUGCAAUAUUUGUUCUUUGGAUCUAAACAGAAAUUGUCAAGGGAGGAGUUCCUGUCAUGGCUUGGUGGUUAACGAACUCAAGUAGUAUCCAUGAGGACAAGGGUUCAAUCCCUGGCCUCCCUCAGUGGGUUAAGGAUCCGGCAUUGCCGUGAGCUGUGGUGUAGGUCACAGAUGCAGUUCGGAUCCUGCGUGGCUGUGGCUGUGGUGUAGGCCAGCAGCUACAGCUCUGAUUCAACCCCUAGCCUGGGAACUUCCAUAUGCUGCGGGUUCAGCCCUAAAAAGACAAAAAAG